GCCGCCAUCGUCUAGCCUGGUUUAGGACAUCAGGUUUUCAACCUGACGGCACCGGUUCAAAUCCGGUUGGCGGCACCA
Molecule: transfer RNA, 78 nt
Filed under: bacterium
Lineage: Bacteria
Also listed under: 1 other name
Description: tRNA-Glu
Rfam family: tRNA
About the family: Transfer RNA (tRNA) molecules are approximately 80 nucleotides in length. Their secondary structure includes four short double-helical elements and three loops (D, anti-codon, and T loops).
Source: RNAcentral